GCCUUCUGAAGUGGUAAGGUGUUACUGUGUAGAGGCAGACACCUGAAGCCUUCUGAAGAGUUGAAGUACACCAGAACAGGAGUCUUUGAGAAACAGUGAAAAGGUGGUGAUUUAUUACUGUGGUGAAACAGGCAGAAGUCCAGUCUGCAAUACUUCUUGUACAGGAAUUCGUAAUGGGAAAAAAUCCCAGCAUGACAUCCAUUUAACUGGAUACACAGAGAAUUUUUAAGAAACCUGCACUCAGCCUACCAAGAUGACUGGUGCUGUCUCCUGGAACAAAAUGGGUAUAAUUCUUGAACAACUGGCCAACCUCUAACAUGGGAUACAAAAGUGUUUAAUUGUUGGAAAUCUGUCCACUCAAUUCCAAAGACUAGAAAUAAUGGCAUCAAGUUUUCCACAGGGGAAACCUUAUUUCCUUUUCCAAAAGCUCAUAGUCCCUUGAAGCAGGAAGUUGCCGGAACAACAGAGUAAUUUAUUCCAUCCCUCUCUUAAGUUUAGCACACUCUCCAUCAUAAAUCUGGCCACAUCUGUUGGCUGGCACACAGGGACUUUUUCUCAGCCUGAAAAAUGCCAGCUCUUGUGCAGGUAUAUGAAGCAUGCUGUCUUUUCUCUCUACUACUGUGCCUGUAGUCACAACCCCCAGGAGCCAGCUAAAUGGACGAUAUUUCCUGCUGUUUUCAUGUAUGGAAGCAUGUGACUUAAAGAGAUAAGCAAACUUUCACAAUACUUUUCUAACAAAAUACCCUGGUGUUUUUAAGUGUUGCACUUUGGGCAACUAUGCUGCCAUUUUUCUUCCCGAAUUUAAACAAGUAAUCACAUUUGUGACUGUAAGAUGAUAUUUGAGAAGAGGGAAUGUUCUAUGCAGCAGCCAGCUAAGCUGCUCACACCUUUAUUUCAAGUGGGAGAAGAGCUAUUUUCCAGCUUGUGACUGAAUUUCCAGUCGCACUGCCAGUGAUUCCCAUUUCUGAAUCAUCUUUGUCAGGAAAAGACUUCAUUUGCUGAAUCAAUUUGUACUGCUCUAAAUCUAUAUUGAGUACUGUUCAAGCAGGCAGCAUUAUUAUAUACAUUCCUUUGCAAUUAGCUGAAAUGUGGAGGCUAUCACAUUUAUAAGGAAAAAAGUACAAUAAUUUCUUCUUAACAAAUCAAUUAAUUUGUCGAAAAAUGAAGGAGCAUCAUGAUGUUUCUUUGGAUUUUGCCAUCUACCUGUUCUUUAC
Passer montanus (Eurasian tree sparrow) is the source of this 1214-nucleotide long non-coding RNA. RefSeq lists it as uncharacterized. The record is from RefSeq and is a predicted model, not a curated record. NCBI's taxonomy places the organism in Eukaryota, Metazoa, Chordata, Aves, Passeriformes, Passeridae. The transcript has 5 exons.